GACGAACGCUGGCGGCGUGCUUAACACAUGCAAGUCGAACGGAAAGGCCUGCUUUCCCUUGUGGAUUGCGGGUACUCGAGUGGCGAACGGGUGAGUAACACGUGAGUGAUCUGCCCCCAACUUGGGUAUAAGCCUGGGAAACUGGGUCUAAUUCCCGAUAGGACUGCAGGGUGGUGCCUGUGGUGGAAAACGAUUUUCUAGUGGUUGGGGAUGAGCUCGCGGCCUAUCAGCUUGUUGGUGGGGUAAUGGCCUACCAAGGCGGGGAGGGGUAGCCGGCCGGGGAGGGGGGACGGCCACAUUGGGACUGGGAUACGGCCCAGACGGCUACGGGAGGCAGGAGUGGGGAAGAUUGCACAAUGGGCGGAAGGCUGAUGCAGCGACGCCGCGUGGGGGAUGACGGCCUUCGGGUUGUAAACUCCUUUCGACCGCGAGGAAGCCACCUGGUUGGAAGGGUGGUGACGGUAGUGGUAGAAGAAGCACCGGCUAACUACGUG
RNAcentral lists this ribosomal RNA (494 nucleotides) under uncultured bacterium. Its description in RNAcentral is "partial 16S ribosomal RNA". It matches the Rfam family "Bacterial small subunit ribosomal RNA", at positions 28 to 507 of the family's 1533-position model. The record is from RNAcentral.